This 358-nucleotide ribosomal RNA is filed under the name uncultured bacterium. Its description in RNAcentral is "bacterial SSU rRNA". It matches the Rfam family "Bacterial small subunit ribosomal RNA", at positions 8 to 353 of the family's 1533-position model. The record is from RNAcentral.
AGAGUUUGAUCCUGGCUCAGGAUGAACGCUAGCUACAGGCUUAACACAUGCAAGUCGAGGGGAAACGACAGUCGAAAGCUUGCUUUUGAUGGGCGUCGACCGGCGCACGGGUGAGUAACGCGUAUCCAACCUGCCCACCACUUGGGGAUAACCUUGCGAAAGUAAGACUAAUACCCAAUGAUAUCCUCUAGAAGUACAUCUGAAAGAGAUUAAAGAUUUAUCGGUGAUGGAUGGGGAUGCGUCUGAUUAGCUUGUUGGCGGGUAACGGCCCACCAAGGCAACGAUCAGUAGGGGUUCUGAGAGGAAGGUCCCCCACAUUGGAACUGAGACACGGUCCAAACUCCUACGGGAGGCAGCA